GCGUCGGUGGUGUAAAAAAGGUUAGCAUGGUUGCCUUCCAAGCAGUCGAUCCGGGUUCGAUUCCCGGCCGACGCA
RNAcentral lists this transfer RNA (75 nucleotides) under Haliotis rubra (blacklip abalone). RNAcentral describes it as "tRNA-Gly". It matches the Rfam family "tRNA". Rfam says of the family: Transfer RNA (tRNA) molecules are approximately 80 nucleotides in length. Lineage: Eukaryota; Metazoa; Mollusca; Gastropoda; Lepetellida; Haliotidae. The record is from RNAcentral.